GCAGGGAGGGGGAGCUUCUCCGCUACACGGCUCCGCCGCUGGCCCGCCGCGGCCGCCUCAUUCCCCCAGGCCCAGGUCCCGCGCCGCCGCUGCCACCGUCACGGCUGCCGUCUCCGCUGCCGCCAGGGCCGCCGCCCCCUCUGCCGCCGCCACCCCCGACGACGACCGCGCCGCCAUCUUGGGCGCGAUGCGUCAGCGGCGUAAGGCUGCACCGGCCUGCGGGACGGCCGCGCGCUCGCAGCGCAGGCCGCGUUCGCGAAUCGCGCCCUCCCAGUUCGCGCGGUGGAAACCAGCAUCUGAAAGGAGAGGGACGCGCGACUCCAGGCGACCGCUACGCCGGCAGCGUAGGCGUAGAACUGGUGGGGUGCGCGGAGGAAGCCGGGGGAGAUAAGAACAGCGGCGCAGGACGCCUAGCGGCCGGAGCGGAGACCGAGCGGUCCAGCCGCGCAAGUCUGCGGAUGGGGAAGCGGGGACUUGGCCAAGGUCACGCCGCGUCUCCGCGGCCGAGGAUGAACCAAGGUCACGCCACCCGCCCCUGGGCCCUGCCGGUCGGUCUCGAAGGGGUUGAGGGGGAAGGUUUGUUGGAAAAAGGAGGAUGUAGUUAAAGGCAACGGAAGCUGCAGCCUGAGACAUCUGGGAUUUGGAACUGCAAGGAAACGGCGCAUGGGAGGCGUGUGCACUUUGCGUUGAUAGCCUGAACCUCAGGAUGUCUUAGGGGCUGGUGCAUGUCGCCCAUUACAAAGAACAAAUAUUUAUUCUGCAAUCUUUUAUUGAUGCUAAAGGUAAUUGCUUCCUCUUAUGGUAAACAAGAGGGCCAGAAAGGAACACGCGCGCGUGCGUGCGUGUGUACACACAUAAUGUAAAUCAUAAAACAUCAUCGUUUCUGGCAAUAAAUGAGGAGUGUGUGUUGUGGAUGUCAAACAGAUUCUCCAGGAAAAGAUAUACAGACAGAAGCUCUCCAGAAAGGAAAACUGGUGUAUGACCUGUGAAUGUUCUCAGCAACCCAGAACAAACCAAGUACCAUGCAGAUGCCCUAAACGUACCAAAAAUCCUGUGCAGUAUCUGUCUGUGAGUUGUUUAAUACCCUUUUUUGUUUUUUAAAUUUUUUUAUUUAAUUUUUUAAAAUUUUUUUAUUUAACAUUUUGUUGCCCGGGCUGGUCCGGAAUUCCUGGCCUCGAAGCUAUCCACCCUCGGCCUCCCAAAGCACUGGGAUUACUGGUGUGAGCCACAGCAGCCGGCUAAUUCCCCUUUUUGAAUUUGCUUGUAUUUAGCAUAGUCAAAAAGAUCUGGAUUUGAAAGCAAAUACACCUUGGUUGUAACCUCAAUUACAUUUUUUUUAAUGCUCAUACCACCCGAUUACAUCAUAUUUUAACUUCCGCAAAAUAGAGACCUACUUGGCCCUGGCACAUAGCAAGCACUCAGGGCACACCAGAUGCUAUUAAUAGUUUGUUUGCCUAUUAAACUUUCCUCUCUUCAAGAAAAGAAAAUUAGAGUUCAGUAAAUGUUGAAUGAAUAGAUAGAUGGAGGUUUUCUUUUGGUUUCUAAUUCCUUACCCUGACUUUUUAUGGGCAUGUUUUUGUUUGUUUGGGGUUUUUUGUUUGAUUGAUUGUUUUUUGGAGACAGGGUCUUGCUGUGUCAAUUAAGGUGGAGUGCAGUGGCAUAAUCUCAGCCAGCUCAACUGCAGCCUAGACCUCCUGGGCUCAAGCGAUGCUCCCACCUCAGCCUCCCAAGUAACUGGGACCACAGGCGCCUGUCAUGCAGCCUGGAGUGCUACCACGUCCAGCCAACUUUUGUAUGUUUUUGUAGAGACAGGGUUUCACCAUGUUGCCCAGGCUGGCCUCGAACUCCUGGGCUCAAGCAGUCCUUCUGCCUCAGCCUCCCAAAGUACUGGGGUUACAGGCAUAAGCCACUGCUCCCAGCCUAUGGGCAUGUUUAGUUUCAAGAGCCCACAAGAUUACUCCCAGAUCCCUUGACUGAGUAAUAAUUACUUUGUCUUUGUUCAGGGAGCAUUAACCAAGGGAUUCUGUCCUUUCCUUGAAGAUAAUGGGUAAGUAGUACAUUUAAAUUUGUUUUAAAAAAUUAUACUCGGCCGGGCGCAGUGGCUCAAGCCUGUAAUCCCAGCACUCUGGGAGGCCAAGGUGGGCAGAUCAUCUGAGGUCAGGAGUUCGAGACCAGCCUGACCAACACAGUGAAACCCCGUGUCUACUAAAAAUACAAAAAUUAGCCGGGCGUGGUGGUGCGUGCCUGUAAUCCCAGCCGCUCAGGAAGCUGAGACAGGA
RNAcentral lists this long non-coding RNA (2279 nucleotides) under Homo sapiens (human). RNAcentral's name for it is "non-protein coding lnc-PACSIN1-1:3". The record is from RNAcentral. Lineage: Eukaryota; Metazoa; Chordata; Mammalia; Primates; Hominidae.